UACGUAGGGCGCAAGCGUUGUCCGGAAUUAUUGGGCGUAAAGAGCUCGUAGGCGGCUUGUCACGUCGGGUGUGAAAGCCCGGGGCUUAACCCCGGGUCUGCAUUCGAUACUGGCAGGCUAGAGUGCGGUAGAGGGUAGUGGAAUUCCCGGUGUAGCGGUGAAAUGCGCAGAUAUCAGGAGGAACACCGGUGGCGAAGGCGGGUCUCUGGGCCGAUACUGACGCUGAGGAGCGAAAGCGUGGGGAGCGAACAGG
Molecule: ribosomal RNA, 253 nt
Filed under: uncultured bacterium
Lineage: Bacteria
Description: partial 16S ribosomal RNA
Rfam family: Bacterial small subunit ribosomal RNA
Source: RNAcentral